UUACAUAUAACAUUUAUUCAUCUAGUACAUAGUAGAAGCAAUAUUAAUACAUAAAUGACAAUCUAGAGAAGUAAAAGAAACAAAUAUACAUAGAUAUGGUUUCAUUCAUAUUAUGCAAUUCCUGCAGCAGGGUCAAGUUGAAAGCGUUCAGAUUCUGAAACACGUCUCUUGUAGUUAAGAAUGAAAGCUUCAGCUUUCCUAUCAAUAUCAGGUUCUGCAACACCCCAUUGAUCUCUGUCAUAAUCACUAGGCCAAACCUUGGGGUCAGAAUCAUAUGAAUCAUAUUGCACUGAUCUAGACUUCUUAGAUGAGAAGAUGUUGAAAAUUGAGAAGAAACUUGGAGAAGACUUCCUAUGCUUAUUACCUCCCAUGAUCACUCAAAAUACUAGCUGUUUUUUGUGUGUUUGGCUAAGUGAACUUGAGGAUUGUCUUGGUUUUCAUUUGACAUGGCAAUACCUUAAUUUAUAGAUGAGGGUUUCAAUUGUAUGAGUGAUAAAUAGUGUUAGAUUUCUUUUUUGUGUGCACGUGAGUUUGGUAUUUUUGCUUUUUGUGUGUACAAGUGGGUUGAGUCUUAGAUUCUACUUGUGAGUUGAGUUUUGAAGGAAAAAAAAAUAGAAAGUUUAAAAGUAAUGAAAUACAUUGGU
Molecule: long non-coding RNA, 644 nt
Filed under: Lupinus angustifolius (narrow-leaved blue lupine)
Lineage: Eukaryota; Viridiplantae; Streptophyta; Magnoliopsida; Fabales; Fabaceae
Description: long non-coding RNA (LANG_LNC002883)
Source: RNAcentral